GACGAACGCUGGCGGCGUGCUUAACACAUGCAAGUCGAACGGAAAGGCCCUGCUUUUGUGGGGUGCUCGAGUGGCGAACGGGUGAGUAACACGUGAGUAACCUGCCCUUGACUUUGGGAUAACUUCAGGAAACUGGGGCUAAUACCGGAUAGGAGCUCCUGCUGCAUGGUGGGGGUUGGAAAGUUUCGGCGGUUGGGGAUGGACUCGCGGCUUAUCAGCUUGUUGGUGGGGUAGUGGCUUACCAAGGCUUUGACGGGUAGCCGGCCUGAGAGGGUGACCGGCCACAUGGGGACUGAGAUACGGCCCAGACUCCUGCGGGAGGCAGCAGUGGGGAGUAGUGCACAAUGGGCGGAAGCCUGAUGCCGCAACGCCGCGUGCGGGAUGACGGCCUUCGGGUUGUAAACCGCUUUCGCCUGUGACGAAGCGUGAGUGACGGUAAUGGGUAAAGAAGCACCGGCUAACUACGUG
Molecule: ribosomal RNA, 468 nt
Filed under: uncultured bacterium
Lineage: Bacteria
Description: partial 16S ribosomal RNA
Rfam family: Bacterial small subunit ribosomal RNA
Source: RNAcentral